AGUCGUAACAAGGUAACCGUAGGUGAACCUGCGGUUGGAUCAUUACAAAAUUGGUUUCAUACCAAACAUUGUGUGCACUAUAUCUGUCUCUGGUGGUUCUCGUGCUUGCUUGCAAGCCUGCACCAAUCAACCUGUUGAUUGCGGCUGGAUCACCAACCAUGAGCGUGGGGUUCUGAACCAAACGCUUGUGAUAAACCUUGUAUUUAUUUUUAUGUCUGAAUCAUUCACCAAGUGAAUUGAAAAACAACUUUUGACAACGGAUCUCUUGGCUCUCGCAACGAUGAAGAACGCAGCGAAUUGCGAUAAGUAAUGUGAAUUGCAGAAUUCAGUGAAUCAUCAAAUCUUUGAACGCACAUUGCGCUUUCUGGUACUCCGGAAAGCAUGCCUGUUUGAGAAUCGAUAAAUCAUCAUACUAAUCUUAUGUUAACACAUGAGUGAUGUAUGGACUUGAGUUACUUUGCAUUGCAAUAACUUUAAACAAAAUGUCAAUGGCCUCUUUUGAAAAAGAUGAGCUUGAGUGCAUGAAGAGCAUUAGCUUGAAAUCAUUCAGAGUUUGUUUUUUUCGAUUGCAAGUCAGGGAUUCAACCAAUUACACAACAUUUUUACAUUUUGUAAAAGUAUUGAACACUUGGUCUCAAAUCAGGUAGGAAAACCCGCUGAACUUAAGCAUAUCAAUAAGCGGAGGAAAAGAAACUAACAAGGAUUCCCCUAGUAACGGCGAGUGAAGCGGGAAUAGCUCAAAUUUGAAAUCUUACAGGUUUUCUUGUACGAAUUGUAGUUUAGAGAAACGUUUUCGGGCGUAACAUGGGUAUAAGUCCUUCGGAACGAGGCAUCAUAGAGGGUGAGAAUCCCGUUCUUGACCCAUUGUUUAUGUCUAUGUGAUACGUUUUCCACGAGUCGGUUUGUUUGGGAAUGCAGACCAAAAUGGGUGGUAAAUACCAUCUAAAGCUAAAUAUUGGCGAGAGACCGAUAGCGAACAAGUACCGUGAGGGAAAGAUGAAAAGAACUUUGAAAAGAGAGUUAAAAAGUACGUGAAAUUGUCAAAAGGGAAACGCUUGAAACCAGUAUUGCUUGCAGGUAAUCAGCCGUUCGUUCAGGACGGUGCACUUGCCUGUUAGCAGGUCAACAUCAGUUUGGUUUGGGGUAAAAAGCCAGAAGAAGGUAGCCCAGAGUUCGCUUUGGGUGUUAUAGCUUCUGGUCCUGCCCUGGACUGGACUGAGGACUGCAGCAUUUUUUGGGUACCCAGUCGCCUCUUGAAACCCUUUGGCAGACAGCAUGCUGACUGUUGAAUGACGUAGGGAGCCCGAUUGGUUUUCCACACCAAUGCUUAGGAUGUUGACGAAAUGGUUUUAAACGACC
RNAcentral lists this ribosomal RNA (1359 nucleotides) under uncultured fungus. RNAcentral's name for it is "eukaryotic LSU rRNA". The stretch from base 630 to 1359 matches the Rfam family "Eukaryotic large subunit ribosomal RNA", at positions 1 to 649 of the family's 3401-position model. Lineage: Eukaryota; Fungi. The record is from RNAcentral.